CAGGUUUUGUCGGGACUCCUGAUGACGUUUUGAGACAUCUCCUACAACUACAGCACCAGAAUUGUGCUGCUGAAGCAAGUCUGUUUUUUUGAAUUUUUUGUUUUGUCAAGACUCCUGAUGACGUUUUAAGACAUAUUCUACAACUACAGCACCAGAAUUGUGCUGCUAAAGCAAGUUUUGUCGGGACUCCUGAUGACGUUUUGAGACAUCUUUUACAACUACAACACCAGAUUUGUGCUGCUGAAGCAAAUCCGUUUAUUUUUAAAAUUUUUU
Nerophis lumbriciformis (worm pipefish) is the source of this 273-nucleotide long non-coding RNA. RefSeq lists it as uncharacterized. The record is from RefSeq and is a predicted model, not a curated record. Lineage: Eukaryota; Metazoa; Chordata; Actinopteri; Syngnathiformes; Syngnathidae.